This 221-nucleotide ribosomal RNA is filed under the name uncultured bacterium. RNAcentral describes it as "partial 16S ribosomal RNA". It matches the Rfam family "Bacterial small subunit ribosomal RNA", at positions 1281 to 1500 of the family's 1533-position model. The record is from RNAcentral.
AAACGUCUCAGUUCGGACUGUGGUCUGCAACCCGACCACACGAAGCUGGAAUCGCUAGUAAUCGCGAAUCAGAAUGUCGCGGUGAAUACGUUCCCGGGUCUUGUACACACCGCCCGUCACACCAUGGGGAGUCAGCAACGCCCGAAGUCAGUGACCUAACCGAAAGGGAGGAGCUGCCGAAGGCGGGGCCGGUAACUGGGGUGAAGUCGUAACAAGGUACC